CGGACGGGUGAGUAACACGUGGGUAACCUACCCAUCAGAGGGGGAUAACACUUGGAAACAGGUGCUAAUACCGCAUAAUGUCUGCGGACCAAAGCGGGGGACCUCCGGGCCUCGCGCCAUCAGAUGAACCCAUAUGGGAUUAGCUUGUAGGUAAGGUAACGGCUUACCUAGGCGACGAUCCCUAGCUGGUCUGAGAGGAUGAUCAGCCACACUGGGACUGAGACACGGCCCAG
This 233-nucleotide ribosomal RNA is filed under the name uncultured bacterium. RNAcentral describes it as "partial 16S ribosomal RNA". It matches the Rfam family "Bacterial small subunit ribosomal RNA", at positions 99 to 334 of the family's 1533-position model. The record is from RNAcentral.